GGGGGGAUAGCUCAGAGGUAGAGCAUUAGACUUCAGAUCAAGAAUAAAUCCCUAUUCCACCCU
Molecule: non-coding RNA, 63 nt
Organism: Pongo abelii (Sumatran orangutan)
Lineage: Eukaryota; Metazoa; Chordata; Mammalia; Primates; Hominidae
Source: Rfam